GGCUGAUAAUAGUGGGUGCAGGUGAAUUAUGGGAGUUGUAGUGAGGGCUGAUAAUAGUGGGUGCAGGUGAAUUAUGGGAGUUGUAGUUGGGGCUGAUAAUAGUGGGUGCAGGUGAAUUAUGGGAGUUGUAGUGAGGGUCUGAUAAUAGUGGGUGCAGGUGAAUUAUGGGAGUUGUAGUGAGGGCUUAUAAUAGUGGGUGCAGGUGAAUUAUGGGAGUUGUAGUGAGGGCUGAUAAUAGUGGGUGCAGGUGAAUUAUGGGAGUUGUAGUGGGGGGCUGAUAAUAGUGGGUGCAGGUGAAUUAUGGGAGUUGUAGUGGGGGGCUGAUAAUAGUGGGUGCAGGUGAAUUAUGGGAGUUGUAGUGAGGGCUUAUAAUAGUGGGUGCAGGUGAAUUAUGGGAGUUGUAGUGAGGGCUGAUAAUAGUGGGUGCAGGUGAAUUAUGGGAGUUGUAGUG
Molecule: long non-coding RNA, 451 nt
Organism: Astyanax mexicanus (Mexican tetra)
Lineage: Eukaryota; Metazoa; Chordata; Actinopteri; Characiformes; Acestrorhamphidae
Exons: 5
Source: RefSeq, a predicted model, not a curated record